AGACUUUGAUCCUGGCUCAGGACGAACGCUGGCGGCGUGCUUAACACGUGCAAGUCGAACGGGGUGUUUAUUUCGGUAAACACCAAGUGGCGAACGGGUGAGUAGCGCGUAAGCAAUCUACCUUCAAGAUGGGGACAACACUUCGAAAGGGGUGCUAAUACCGAAUGAAUGUAAGAGUAUCGCAUGAGACACUUACUAAAGGAGGCCUCUGACAUAAGCUUCCGCUUGAAGAUGAGCUUGCGUCUGAUUAGCUAGUUGGUGAGGGUAAAGGCCCACCAAGGCGACGAUCAGUAGCCGGUCUGAGAGGAUGAACGGCCACAUUGGGACUGAGACACGGCCCAGACUCCUACGGGAGGCAGCAGUGGGGAAUCUUCCGCAAUGGGCGAAAGCCUGACGGAGCAACGCCGCGUGAACGAUGAAGGUCUUAGGAUCGUAAAGUUCUGUUGUUAGGGACGAAGGGUAAGAAUCAUAAUAAGGUUUUUAUUUGACGGUACCUAACGAGGAAGCCACGGCUAACUACGUGCCAGCAGCCGCGGUAGUACGUAGGCGGCAAGCGUUGUCCGGAAUUAUUGGGCGUAAAGGGAGCGCAGGCGGGAAACUAAGCGGAUCUUAAAAGUGCGGGGCUCAACCCCGUGAUGGGGUCCGAACUGGUUUUCUUGAGUGCAGGAGAGGAAAGCGGAAUUCCCAGUGUAGCGGUGAAAUGCGUAGAUAUUGGGAAGAACACCAGUGGCGAAGGCGGCUUUCUGGACUGUAACUGACGCUGAGGCUCGAAAGCUAGGGUAGCGAACGGGAUUAGAUACCCCGGUAGUCCUAGCCGUAAACGAUGGAUACUAGGUGUGGGAGGUAUCGACCCCUUCCGUGCCGGAGUUAACGCAAUAAGUAUCCCGCCUGGGGAGUACGGCCGCAAGGUUGCAACUCAAAUGAAUUGA
This 929-nucleotide ribosomal RNA is filed under the name uncultured bacterium. Its description in RNAcentral is "bacterial SSU rRNA". It matches the Rfam family "Bacterial small subunit ribosomal RNA", at positions 8 to 913 of the family's 1533-position model. The record is from RNAcentral.